Molecule: ribosomal RNA, 253 nt
Filed under: uncultured bacterium
Lineage: Bacteria
Description: partial 16S ribosomal RNA
Rfam family: Bacterial small subunit ribosomal RNA
Source: RNAcentral
UACGUAGGCAGCGAGCGUUGUUCGGAAUUACUGGGCGUAAAGCGUGCGCAGGCGGUUAUGUAAGACAGAUGUGAAAUGCCCGGGCUUAACCUGGGAACUGCAUUUGUGACUGCAUGGCUAGAGUUUGGCAGAGGGGGGUAGAAUUCCACGUGUAGCAGUGAAAUGCGUAGAUAUGCGGAGGAACACCGAUGGCGAAGGCAAUCCCCUGGGCCUGCACUGACGCUCAUGCACGAAAGCGUGGGGAGCAAACAGG